GAUCAUCUUUGUGGCCUCCUCUGGACCCACUCAAGCAGGUCCAUGUCCUUCUUACACUGGGGGACCCACACCUGGACACAGCACUCCAGUGGGGGUCUCAGAAGACCUCCCGCGACCUGCUAUCCACACUUCCCUUGAUGCAGCCCUGGGUUGCCUGCAGCCCCUGCUGCAGCCCUUCUCUGGGUUCUCAAUCCUCCCCCCUGUUCCUUCUGUUAGAUGAAAUUCCACCUCCAUCCCGAUGCGUGCCCAGACGUCUAUACCUCCGUUUGGACAGGCAAGGCUGGCAGCUCUUGUGUUGCUGACAGGAGAGCAGCACCUGGAAGAAGAGCGACUGGUUCUUAUUAAAAACAAACAUAUUCAAGAAAAUUGACCACUUAUUGAGGAACCUAAGCUCAGGCUUCCUGGGCCCUCCAACCUACCACAGCUCCUCAUCCAAGAACCGAAAGAGAUGGUUACCCACAGCAGCAAAAGGGAAGUUGGACAACAAUGAAGAGCCAUCAUUUAUACAAUCCAACCCAGAAACAGAAAUGAAAGAGACAGCAGAAGAGCAAAAAAGAGGAACUGCAAACCAGGGAGCCUGUACCCUGAAUGCCAGUACUAAUGAUAACACAGGCCACCUGAAAGGACAGGAAAAUCCAGACAUCCACCUACUCAUUCUUCUUAUCAUGUAGCACAUGACUCAGUUAAGAUGAAGGAAAUAUCUAGAGUUGUCUGAAGGGCAAAGAGAAGAAGCUAAUCAUCAAACUAUUCAAGCUCCUCCAGAAAAGAGAUUUUAAAAGGAUGGAGAAGACGACACAGAAGCACAUAAAGCAGGAAGAAACGGAUGGAGUCACUUUCAAAUUUUAAGGCGUUUAAUAAAAAUCUAGCAUCAGAAUUUCAUCUUGCCUCAUCCUGCAAGUUGAUCUCCAUGCACAGAUGUCUCUGAUUUCUGUCUUCUUCUCUGAGGAACAGAGAUCCAGGCAGCAACCAGAAUCCACAGCACCUGGUGUGCGCCCUCUUUGCAUGCUUCAUCUGUUGCACUGUUCAUCCUGCGAAUCAAAGUCAUCAGCACCCCGCAAAAAUGUCCUCCUAUGCCAUAGGGAUGUCUGGGAUCCACGUGCAUUGGCAGGUAAUCUUGGAUUGAAUAAACUCUGGCCAAGAAUUUCAGAUGGAGGUGUCUGUGGCUGGCCUUCUGAAUCUGCAUGGAGACAACUGGAUAAACGAUCAAGCAUGCUGAUCACUUUCAACCUGACAUGAAAAUCACUGAUCUGAGUAUUUACUAACAUCUUCUCACCCAGACACGGAUACCCUUUGGCACUGGCACAUCAUUGCAAUGCUGCUGGACGUGCUCAUCAGAAAAGAUACACGUAGCUGAGUGUAUCACCAUUUUGGCAGAAUCCUAUUUAACUGAAAGAACAGAUUUACGAUGAAGUUUCAACACUCAGGAAGGCUUUAGGAACUUAAGGAUGUAGUCUAUGUAUCUUCGGGCUGAACAGGGCAUUUGGUAGGUCAGCACUCUGUUCAGGCCCAUUCAUUUUCCAUUUCUCCCUCUACUCUUGUUUUUCUAAUGCAUCAGUGGAUUACUUCUGCAGUCAAGGGUGGUUUUGCACUAGGUGCCUCCUCUUCCAGCAGAAAAAUCAGAACACAGAAUUUACAACACAAUGAGAAGCAUGAUUCUGUGGGUACCACACUAUGACACCAUGUCAGCAGUCUUGGUUUUCUACUAGACGAUCAUGGACAGGAGUCCUGCGUGACAAACUUCCAACAUUGCCGAAUCAGUGUGGAGUAUGGAGUGUAGUAAAUAUCACACACCUUGCUGCCACGCCAAAAUACCUAUCAGCUACAGCAGAAAUUGUGCCAGGUGGCCAGGCAACGGGAGGAGGCAGUACUGCUGUGCUGGCAGCAAAAGGGGGCUGUGCUGUGGCACCCUCGGGCGACGGAGGUGGGAAGCCUGGGGCACAGCGGCCAGGCCCCGGCCGGAGGCACAGCCGGGCGGGAGCAGUCCCCUCCACCGACGGUGCCCGGCUGUGCGGGGCUCUGCAGCGGGAUCGAGCCCUCUGUGCCGUGCCGCGCGACGCCCCAGCGCGUAACCCCGCACGGGGCCGGGCCCGAGGGUGCCGGCGGUGCCUUAGCUCACGUAACAGGGCUCUGUCGCCCAGCAUGGAGAGCUCAAGCCCCUCUGCUGUAGCCGCACAACACCUCACAGGAGCGAGGGGCCGGGCCACGGGGGCGGCACAAAGCGGUGGUCAGAGGGGUGAGGCUGAUGCUUACGGCGCGCUACGUUCCAGGUGUGUAUCUGCAGGAACAGUUCACGUCGCAGUUUGCAAGAGCGGUACUAUACCUGGCACUACCGCCAGCAAAUUACGGCAUCAUUUCUUUUAUUAGAAGAAACCGGUAAACCAAAAUCACACAGCGGGUCACGGUUUUCAUCAUGGCAAAGCUGAAAGCAGGAUCUCAUCAGGCAAGCGUAAUCAGAAGGUGAUCACCCUUUUCUCCGAGAAAGUAACUUCUAGAUCAUUACAUCUAGUUCAUAAAAUGUAAAAUUCUUAAAGAAAUGAUAUAUAUUUUUUUCUCAGUGGGUUAACAAAAAUUGUAUUUGGAUUUUUGAAUGAAAUUUUGGAUUUUUGAAUGAAAAAAUAUAUCGGAUUUUAAUUUAGACAUGUGAUGGAAGGAGCGAUUAAGUGAACAGAAAAUAGAAGCAAAAGAAAUAAUAAAAAAGCAAAUUUACCACUGUUUAUCCAGAAAGUAAAGUCACUAAGUAAAAA
This is a long non-coding RNA of Tyto alba (common barn owl), 2744 nucleotides long. RefSeq lists it as uncharacterized. NCBI's taxonomy places the organism in Eukaryota, Metazoa, Chordata, Aves, Strigiformes, Tytonidae. The record is from RefSeq and is a predicted model, not a curated record. The transcript is spliced from 2 exons.